GCUGUCUGCUCUGUUUAUUUACUUUUUCAAAAUUCUCAUGAAAGUAUUGCCAAGUGAUGUAUUUCAAGCUGUGAAAGUUAUUAAUCAGUGUUUGGAAAGUUAUUAAAAAGUGUUCUUUCUGCUAAAUAAUUUCAUGUUUCAUAUUCAUCACAGGAGAUUGAUUAAGAAAAUAAGAUCAUGAGUACGGAAAAAGUAUUAAAUGUUCAGAAAAAUGUGUGAAGUCGGCUUAUCAUAAUAUUUGCACAGGUUGUUCUGAACAACUAGAAGUUUGUGCGAAAUGUGGAGAGCAUAUAGAAAUUUCUCGUGGUGAAAAUAUUUCUGAAACCUAAA
Molecule: long non-coding RNA, 330 nt
Organism: Uloborus diversus
Lineage: Eukaryota; Metazoa; Arthropoda; Arachnida; Araneae; Uloboridae
Exons: 3
Source: RefSeq, a predicted model, not a curated record